UAGGGGACGUAGCAAUACGUCACCGGCGGACGGGUGCGUAACACGUGGGAACAUACCUUUCGGUACGGAACAACUGAGGGAAACUUCAGCUAAUACCGUAUACGCCCGUAAGGGGAAAGAAUUUCGCCGAAAGAUUGGCCCGCGUUCGAUUAGCUAGUUGGUGAGGUAAUGGCUCACCAAGGCUCCGAUCGAUAGCUGUUCUGAGAGGAAGAUCAGCCACACUGGGACUGAGACACGGCCCAGACUCCUACGGGAGGCAGCAGUUGGGAAUCUUGGACAAUGGGGGAAACCCUGAUCCAGCCAUGCCGCGUGAGUGAUGAAGGCCUUCGGGUUGUAAAGCUCUUUUACCCGGGAAGAUAAUGACUGUACCGGGAGAAUAAGCUCCGGCUAACUUCGUG
Molecule: ribosomal RNA, 398 nt
Filed under: uncultured bacterium
Lineage: Bacteria
Description: bacterial SSU rRNA
Rfam family: Bacterial small subunit ribosomal RNA
Source: RNAcentral